RNAcentral lists this ribosomal RNA (643 nucleotides) under uncultured fungus. RNAcentral describes it as "eukaryotic LSU rRNA". The stretch from base 241 to 394 matches the Rfam family "5.8S ribosomal RNA". The record is from RNAcentral. Lineage: Eukaryota; Fungi.
AAGUCGUAACAAGGUUUCCGUAGGUGAACCUGCGGAAGGAUCAUUAACGUAUCUCUGACGGGGUUUCGGCGCGCCCUGCUCCGGUCCAAAAGGCCGUGCAGCGGGUUCCCGUCCCUGUUCACACCUCACAAACCCACCGUGAACCUUCACGGCAGAAGGGAGGAGACUCCCGGACGCCGCAUACCAAAACCCCAGUUUUAAAGAAUGUCGUGCGGACUUGCGCCGCCUAAAACACAAAACAACUUUCAACAACGGAUCUCUUGGCUCUCGCAUCGAUGAAGAACGCAGCGAAAUGCGAUAAGUAAUGUGAAUUGCAGAAUUCAGUGAAUCAUCGAAUCUUUGAACGCACCUUGCGCUCCUUGGUAUUCCGAGGAGCAUGCCUGUUUGAGUGUCUUGAAGUCAUCAACCCCUUCCGUUUCGCGCGGAGAGGGUUGGAAGUGGGGGCUCUGCUGCCGUGAGGCGGCUCCCCUCAAAUGCAUCGGUUGGGCCUGUGGGUCGAACUCGACUGGGCGUUGUACCAUCCUCGCUUUACAGAGUCCGUUCCCCUUUCCGUGCCCUCCCCCGACCUGCCUGCUAGAGUGGCGGUCAAGCAACAAACUUUGAAAUCUGACCUCAAAUCAGGUAGGACUACCCGCUGAACUUA